Molecule: ribosomal RNA, 440 nt
Filed under: uncultured bacterium
Lineage: Bacteria
Description: partial 16S ribosomal RNA
Rfam family: Bacterial small subunit ribosomal RNA
Source: RNAcentral
CCUACGGUGGGCAGCAGUGGGGAAUAUUGCACAAUGGGGGAAAACCUGAUGCAGCGACGCCGCGUGAGUGAGGAAGUAUUUCGGUUUGUAAAGUUCUAUCAGCAGGGAAGAAAAUGACGGUACCUGACUACGAAGCACAGGCUAACUACGUGCCAGCAGCCGCGGUAAUACGUAGGGGGCAAGCGUUCUCCGGAUUUAAUGGGUGUAAAGGGAACGUAGACGGCUAAUCAAGUCAGAAGUGAAAGCCCAGGGCUUAACUUUGGAACUGCUUUUGAAACUGAGUAGCUAGAGUGCAGGAGAGGGAAGCAGAAUUCCAAGUGUAGCGGUGAAAUGCGUAGAGAUUAGGAGGAACACCAGUGGCGAAGGCGGCUUACUGGACUGUAACUGACGUUGAGGCUCGAAAGCGUGGGGAGCAAACAGGAUUAGAUACCCGAGUAGUC